This 2075-nucleotide unclassified non-coding RNA is filed under the name Hevea brasiliensis (rubber tree). Lineage: Eukaryota; Viridiplantae; Streptophyta; Magnoliopsida; Malpighiales; Euphorbiaceae. The record is from RNAcentral.
AAAAAACUUGGCAUUCUAUGUAUUUAUACGCUCCCUGUCUCCUCUCCUGUUUCCCUCCCCAACUUGGCAGGCCUUUGCCUUCGGCGACAGCAGCUCUCCCUCACCGCUGUCGACUUCGCGCUUCCACUAUAAUAUUGCGUCCUCUCUCUCUCUGCGGUUUAGUUCUAUGCUGUUAGGUCAAAGGAGGCAAAGAUGGUGUUUUUGGCUUAUUUUUAGAAUUAGGGCAAAUUGUCCGAAAUUCAAAGUAAUUGAAGCUACUUCACCCACUUCCACUCCUUCUUAAUCUAUAAAGCAAGGACAGACGAUGAACGCUUCGAUAAUCGAUCCACUGCAAGGAGAUUUUCCAGAGGUUAUAGAGGAGUAUUUGGAGCAUGGGGUCAUGAAAUGUAUCGCCUUUAAUCGUCGUGGCACUCUUCUAGCCGCUGGAUGCUCUGAUGGAAGUUGCAUUAUCUGGGAUUUCGAAACUAGAGGAAUUGCCAAGGAGCUUCGGGAUAAGGACUGUGCUGCUGCAAUAACAAGCAUCUGCUGGUCAAAGUAUGGUCAUCGAAUCCUUGUUUCUGCUGCUGAUAAAUCAUUAACACUUUGGGAUGUUGUAAAUGGACAGAAGAUUUCACGCACUGUUCUGCAGCAGACACCACUGCUGGCUCGCCUGCAUCCAGGUUCCUCUGCUCCAUCUCUUUGUUUGGCAUGCCCACUCUCAUCUGCUCCAAUGAUUGUUGACUUAAACACAGGAAGCACCACUAUGCUUCCAGUUGCAGUGCCUGAAAUGGGCAAUGGACUUGUCCCUCAAUCACGCAGCAAAUCUUCAGAUGGAACUCCCCCUUUCACUCCAACUGCUGCAUGCUUCAACAAGUAUGGAGAUCUAGUGUAUGUGGGAAAUUCGAAAGGGGAAAUAUUUAUAAUAGAACACAAAAGCAUUCAAGUGCAUGCCAUGGUUUCCAUUCCAGGUGGUGCUGUGAUAAAGAACAUAGUAUUCAGCAGAAAUGGACAGUAUCUGCUUACGAAUUCUAAUGAUCGGACUAUCAGAAUAUAUGAAAAUCUUCUUCCUCUGAAAGAUGGCCUUUCUGCUCUGGAGGAGAUGAACAGGACCAUUGAUGAGCAAGAUGGUGUUGAGAAGAUGAAAACUGUUGGAUCAAAGUGCUUAGCAUUAUUCCGAGAAUUUCAAGAUUCUAUCACCAAAAUGCACUGGAAGGCACCUUGUUUUAGUGGUGAUGGUGAGUGGGUAAUUGGUGGUUCUGCAAGCAAAGGAGAGCACAAAAUCUACAUAUGGGAUAGGGCUGGACAUCUUGUAAAAAUCCUUGAAGGUCCAAAGGAAGCAUUGAUUGAUUUAGCAUGGCAUCCUGUUCAUCCCAUUGUAGUCUCUGUUUCCUUGACAGGCUUGGUGUAUAUUUGGGCUAAGGAUUAUACUGAGAACUGGAGUGCAUUUGCACCAGACUUCAAAGAGCUAGAGGAAAAUGAAGAGUAUGUGGAGCGAGAAGAUGAAUUUGAUUUGAUGCCUGAAACUGAAAAGGUGAAGGAAUCAGAUGCUAAUGACGAUGAAGAAGUUGACAUUGUGACGGUGGAGAAAGAUGCCUUCAGUGAUUCUGAUAUGUCACAGGAAGAACUAUGCUUCUUGCCGGCUGAUCCUUGUCCUGAUGUUCCUGAGCAACAGGACAAGUGCGUUGGAAGUUCUUCCAAGUUGAUGGACAGUAAUCAUUCUGGAUCCCCUCCUUCUGAAGGAGCUGGACAAAAUGGGCUUGCUGUGAACCAUGCAUCAAGUCCACUUGAAGAGGACACAGGAGGUACCCGAAUGAAGAGGAAACGGAAACCUUCAGAAAAGGGGUUAGAGUUGCAGGCCGAGAAGGUCAGGAAGCCCAUGAAACCAUUGAAGUCUUCUGGUAGAUUGUCAAAAAUAAAAAAUAAAUUUGUUGUUGACCUAGAUAUUAGUAAUGGUGUGUAUGGGGAUGAUGUUUCUGACGAGUAGCAUUAGAUUUUUGUAAUAAUGAAGAGUCUAUCUAUUGUGCUGGAAAAUUUGGCAUCAUUUAUUAUUCAAGCACUUUGAGAUGCUCAACAAUAGCUUUCUACCCACAGUGUGU